Molecule: ribosomal RNA, 207 nt
Filed under: uncultured bacterium
Lineage: Bacteria
Description: partial 16S ribosomal RNA
Rfam family: Bacterial small subunit ribosomal RNA
Source: RNAcentral
CGCGUAGGCGGUUUGAUAAGUCAGAUGUGAAAGUCCACGGCUCAACUGUGGAAGUGCAUUUGAAACUGUCAGACUUGAGUAUCGGAGGGGAAAGUGGAAUUCCCGGUGUAGAGGUGAAAUUCGUAGAGAUCGGGAGGAACACCGGUGGCGAAGGCGACUUUCUGGACGAAUACUGACGCUGAGGCGCGAAAGCGUGGGGAGCAAACA